This 580-nucleotide ribosomal RNA is filed under the name uncultured rumen bacterium. RNAcentral's name for it is "bacterial SSU rRNA". It matches the Rfam family "Bacterial small subunit ribosomal RNA", at positions 162 to 760 of the family's 1533-position model. The record is from RNAcentral.
GAUAAUACCGCAUAAGCGCACAGUACCGCAUGGUACGGUGUGAAAAACUCCGGUGGUGUGAGAUGGACCCGCGUCUGAUUAGCUAGUUGGUGAGGUAACGGCCCACCAAGGCGACGAUCAGUAGCCGGCCUGAGAGGGUGUACGGCCACAUUGGGACUGAGACACGGCCCAAACUCCUACGGGAGGCAGCAGUGGGGAAUAUUGCACAAUGGGGGAAACCCUGAUGCAGCGACGCCGCGUGAGUGAUGAAGUAUUUCGGUAUGUAAAGCUCUAUCAGCAGGGAAGAUAAUGACGGUACCUGACUAAGAAGCACCGGCUAAAUACGUGCCAGCAGCCGCGGUAAUACGUAUGGUGCAAGCGUUAUCCGGAUUUACUGGGUGUAAAGGGUGCGUAGGUGGCGCAGCAAGUCAGAAGUGAAAACUAUGGGCUCAACCCAUAGACUGCUUUUGAAACUGCAGUGCUAGAGUGCAGGAGAGGAAAGUGGAAUUCCUAGUGUAGCGGUGGAAUGCGUAGAUAUUAGGAGGAACACCAGUGGCGAAGGCGACUUUCUGGACUGUUACUGACACUGAGGCACGAAAGC